Long non-coding RNA from Cucurbita pepo subsp. pepo (vegetable marrow), 777 nucleotides. RefSeq lists it as uncharacterized. Lineage: Eukaryota; Viridiplantae; Streptophyta; Magnoliopsida; Cucurbitales; Cucurbitaceae. The record is from RefSeq and is a predicted model, not a curated record.
UACUCUCUCAGUUGUGCUGGCUCUAGUUCUUGCUGUUCUUAUUGAAUGGAAGUGUUGUGAAAGAGAGAGACAAAUAGUGGUGUGGCUGUGGCUGUGGCUGUGGCUGUGGCUGUUUUUACACUCAGAUUGGGUUUCCAAUUGUUCCCACUUUGCUUGUUCCGUAAAAAACACAGAAAGUGACGCAUGUUAGAGGAGGGCGUCCCGGAGUGAGAAAGAAAAAAGAAAAUGAUUUAUUAUUAUUAUUAUUAUUUUGAUUUGUUUUAGCAGAACAUAUUCAAAGUAGGAAAAUACCCCACCAUCCCUUUAAUUUAAUCCCAAUACCAAAAAUCAUUGCUUUAGUCAUUGUCGUCUCAAAACCUUAUAAUUGUUCUUGUUUUGUAAUUUACUAUAUAUUCUCACUGAUCUCCAUAUCUCAUUUAUCAUUUGUUUUCAGGCUAAUCUAAUCAUAUCAUCAACUUGGAAAAAAGUCCUUAUGAACAAACCACAACCCACUGCCCGGCAGGUUUGAAGGUUGACUGCAGAAAAACCGAAGCAUGGUUUGAAAAUCUGAUGCCGUAUGCUCAUUGACUAUGUUAUUUUUGUCAGAAGAAGAAGAAGAAAUAAAAGGUGAACGAACAACAAAUGCUAUAGGGACCUCACCGGCUUUAUCAUCAGGAUAUCUGCAGGUGGAAAUUCAUGGCAGAGGUUAACAAGAAAGUAUGAAAUAGAAAGGAAAAUCCACUAUGAACGUCCACAUAAUGAUGGGACUAUAGAUGCUACUAUAUACUCCUUACGGGA